RNAcentral lists this non-coding RNA (28 nucleotides) under Bombyx mori (domestic silkworm). Lineage: Eukaryota; Metazoa; Arthropoda; Insecta; Lepidoptera; Bombycidae. The record is from RNAcentral.
CUCCUAUGUAAAAUCAUCUGAUGAUAAU